Canis lupus familiaris (dog) is the source of this 933-nucleotide long non-coding RNA. RefSeq lists it as uncharacterized. The transcript is spliced from 3 exons. The record is from RefSeq and is a predicted model, not a curated record. Lineage: Eukaryota; Metazoa; Chordata; Mammalia; Carnivora; Canidae.
CUACAGCAUUUGGCUUUAUUUAGCAUCAUAAAGGUCUCUCAGGGUUUGAAGCCCCUUAAUGCCUCACGUGUCUUUCAUAUUCUGGAAUUAGCUGGAGCUGGGAGGGCAAGCAUGGCCAGAUGAGGAAGCUGAGUCACAGAGAUUGCACCCACAGGUUUCAUCUGUGGCAGAGCCAGGAUUCAAUGUGAGCUGUGGAUGGGAUGCCUGGAUGGUGUAGUCAGGAUCCAGUGGAGGGACAAGUUACCACAGAGUCCCAGAACCACUACUUCUUGCUCCUGCCUGGGUGCAAUCCCCACAGACAGGGGAAUAAAGGACCUAGGAAGGGAAUGGUCCUGGGAAGCCAAAGGGUCAGGACUUCUCAGAAGCUGCUGGGGAAGCACUCAUCAGCCGCCUAUGCAAAGAUAAGACCCAACUGCUCUGCUUCCUCCUCAACUUCCCACUCUGUCAACAAAAAGGAAGAAAUGGGUGCUCACCAGCAGCAGGUCACAUGACAGGGCCUGUACUCAGCCCAUCAGAGUGUUCCCAGGACAGGGUUGGGGACCUUUGCUCUCAGCCCUGAUUUCACCUGUGGGGGGAAGGGCAAGUGCUGGGUGUGUGUGAGCCCUGGCUAGCCAGAGACCCCCGAAGACAGUUACUUUUAUCUGGUGAAGCCCUGAAUCCAGGCCUCAGGUCCAGACGGCUAAAAGGCCAAGGCAACCCAACACUGAGCUUUGAUCCAACACUAUUCUUGUGCCCAAAUCUAGCAUAUUGUUACCUCCUCCCAAAAUCCUGCUGUAGAAAGCAGAGUGAGCCCCUGGCUCUCUGUUUUAUUGGAAGGUAAAUGGAUUCUUUUUUUUAAGAUUUUAUUUAUUUAUUCAUGAGAGACACACAGAGAGAGAAAGGCAGAGAGACAUAGGCAGAGGGAGAAGCAGGCUCCAUGCAGGGAGCCUGAUG